Molecule: long non-coding RNA, 4064 nt
Organism: Orcinus orca (killer whale)
Lineage: Eukaryota; Metazoa; Chordata; Mammalia; Artiodactyla; Delphinidae
Exons: 6
Source: RefSeq, a predicted model, not a curated record
GUCCAUUUACCCAGGACAAGAAAACAUAUGAUAUUACUCUUAUUUUUUCAACCACAAUGGAUUUGAACUUUUAGAAAAUUGAAAAUGCAAGAUACAGAUUUUAUUUUUUUUAAGUUAUUUAUUUAUUUAUUUAUUUAUUUCUGGCGGCGUUGUUUCUUCGUUGCUGUGCAUGGGCUUUGUCUAGUUGCGGGGAGCGGGGGCUACUCUUCGUUGUGGCGCGCAGGCUUCUCAUUGCGGUGUCUUCUCUUGUUGCAGAGCACAGGCUCUAGGGCAUGCCGGCUUCAGUAGUUUCGGUGCACGGGCUCAGUAGUUGUGGCUCGCGGGCUCUAGAGUGUAGGCUCAGUAGUUGCGGCGCAUGGGCUUAGUUGCUUUGUGGCAUGUGGGAUCUUCCCAGACCAGGGUUCGAACCCGUGUCUCCUGCAUUGGCAGGCGGAUUCUUAACCACUGCGCCACCAGUGAAGCCCAAGAUACAGAUUUUAAUAAGAAAAUAUUAGGCAACAGUUCUCUUAUCUCUAUGUCUUUUUCUAUCUCAUUGAUUGUGAAGAAUACAAUCAUAGAGAAAGCAAAAUCUACAUCAGUUGAAAAUUUUUUCCACCUGCAUGCAUAUUAGAGUGGAUGUGUAACAUCUUCACAGGGUUUGUGAAAUCACUAUUUCACCACAGAAAUUAAAUAUGACACUAAAAUGAUCUGACACUAAUUAGUCCAUUGAAUAAGGGGAGGAGGAUUGGCAUUUGGUCAUCGUUUAGAAGAAAAAAAAAUCAUUAACCUGUUAGGCAAAAUACUUGUCUUUAAAUUAUCCCGUAAUAAAUAUACUAGAAAAUGAAAUCAAAUGGCAGUACAGUGUUAUGAAAGGAAAGCAAUUGGGUUGAUCUCAAAGUGAGUGAGUAUAAAAAUCAAUGUUUUUUGUUUAGUUUGUUAAUAAUUUUAUUCUUAGAGCUCCAAGGCAGCUAGCUUUUGGUCAUUUUUAAGAUCAAUCAAAAAGUUCUAAACAUUAUUUUUAAGGUAUGCAGAUCACUAGGCCCUCCCCGCCUCCUUUCUCUCUUUCUUUUAAUUUUUAAAUUUAUUUUGGGGAGUUUUGGCUACCAUUUAUGUUCUAAUCAUGUUUUUCAGGAAGUGAAUUUGAACUUUGAACCUCACCUAGUUUGAAUCCUACCUCUAUUGUUUUCUAUCUCUAUGACUUAGGGUAAGUUACUUAACCACUGUGAAUUGUUUCUGGAUAUUUAAAACAGGGAAAUCACAGGGUUGUUGCGAAGAUGAAAGAAGAUAACAUAAAAGGGAACUUACUGCAGUGUUUGAGACAUAGUAAGGGUUAGUAAAUAUUUCCAAUUUUUAUCUUUCUAAUUCUCGUGAGCAGUUUACAAUGAGAUCUCAUUACCACAGAUUUUCCCUAAAAUUAUGAACCUUUUCCUACCCCUCUCCAUUUUAAACCAAACCUUGAAAUGACUGAACCUCAUAGGAAGAUGUCUCAAUGCAGGUAAUCCCAGUAGCAGGAGAGGUUGAAGCUACCACAAUGCAAAGUUGUCAGGCUCUGAUCUGGCAGUAGCUGUGGGAAUUAGUCUUAGCUUCUAUUUUUAACUCUGCAAGGAGUUGAUUGGAUGACCUGGGAAAACUCAGUUGGCAUCUUAUUUUCUUUCUGAAUUUCUUUCUGCGUCUUAUUUUCUUUCUGAAUUGUACCAUUUGUCUAAUCACUCUUUUCACUGACUCAUUAUCAGAAAUGAUAUGAAGGUUGUUGAAUUAGGGUGUUGAUUUCAGAAGUAAUGUUAUAGAAAAUGGGAAUUGUUCCCUUUCUUAAAAGCAAUAGUUGACAAUUUUAUUUUAUUUUUUUCUGAUACAGUGUUGAAGUUCCUGGGAGAGGGCAACUUUAAUUUAUAAAGAGUCGUUAACAUUCACUUCCUCUAACAAAAGCCUUUGAAGUUUCCUGAGUUUCUGGGAAGGCCUGGUUUCCCCAAAGGAAUGAUUUCUGGUAGAAGUCUGAAGGUCUGACCCAAGAAAAAAACUCCAGUAUAGCCAAUGAAUUGAGGACAAGAAGGUUUCCAAUCAGUGUGAUCCCAGAAGUCUCACCAAGAGAUGGUGUUGAUUCUUCUCAGUGCAAGAGGGAUCAUGAUUGACUGAUGGCUCCAGUUACUGUUACCAGCACAGGACAGAGCCUGGUGUGGCCAAGAAAGCGGGCCAUUCCUGUGAAUACAAGACUGCCCCAACAGGCAUACUGUUGCUGCGUUUAACCUCACUGAAGCCAGACUAAUCCAGAGAUGUUCUUAGCUUCCUGUGACUCAUAUGAAGGUUAUCAUUUUAGAAGAGACCUUGAAAACAUACUCUGGAUUUAGGGGGGAAAAAAAACUCUGACAUUUCCAAGAGGAAAAGCUUUUUUUAAGUUUUAUAUUGUAGAUGCAGAGCUUAAAGCAUUUAAACACAUACAGCAAGCAAUAUAAUAUGAAUCAUGUAACAAAAGUUAAAUUUAAGUGAAAACCUUGUGUGGUAUGUUGCAGUCACAAAAGAAGAUACAAAAUUAAUGUGGACACCUGCUUGUUUUACUUGUAUCAGGAGAAAAUAAAAUUAAUUGUCAUUUAAUGAAUUGCUUUCUGUUGUAGCACACUUAAUUAUCUCUUCCUGUAACCCCAAGAAGUAUCUUUUCAAACUCACAGCUGUAUCUGAAUAGGGGCUACCAACUAAAGAGACUGUUUCCUUGCCACAGGUGAUCACAGGCUUAGGCAAACCCAGACCGUAUUUAGCUGUUGGCCUUCUGUUUCCCUUAACACAGGAGAUGAAUGCUAACCCCUUUUCCAGCUAGCUGCAUGUGGAACAGUUCUGGCUUCAGUCCCCUGCCACCUGCCGGCUCUGGGAUCUCAGGGUGCUCCUGGGAGAAUCAUAGGAAUGCGGAUGAACCCCUGAAAGAGACCUGAUGGUGCAGAGAAGGCAUCCGACAGAGGAUCAUGAAGCAGAGAGCAAAGAAGUGGGGUUGAAAAGAGGGAGGUAUACGCGGAGAUUGUUUUUCAUCUCAAAAUGUGCCAUUGUAUUCUACAUUCUCCUUGAAACAUUUCAAGGGCUCCAUUUGCAUAUAUUAGAUGUUUACUUCUUUUCACAUCAUGUUCUCCAUUCCUACCGAAUUACGUGUCAAUCUAUGAACUGUUUCUCCUUUGUACUUCUGUCACUUUAGUACAUUAACAAUUGCAAGUAGAGGUUUUCCACAGUGUGUUUUCCUCUUGGUACAACUUCUUUUGAAUCUAUCCUGUGUAUACAGAAAGAUCUCAAGCGUGUGGGCCAGUCAGAAUGAAGCCAAGCCCGCACUGGUGGAAGUCUACAUUCUAGAAGGGCUCCAAAGACACAAGGACACACAGUUGCAGUGAUUACAGUACUCAAACCUACCUAGAUUAGUUGCAAAGAUACUUCUUUAGCACUAUUUUCACAUUAAUUCUAUUAUUGUUUAAAUAUAAUUGCGUUUCUCUAGUUGAUGUAAGUAAAUCCUUUGCUUAAAAUAUUUCAUUUUGUUUCAACUGUUAAUUUGUUUUCUGAAAUGAGUGUAAUAAAUACAAAUUUUUAUUUGUCCUAACAAUUAAAAUGCAUGGAUUAACCCCCAGCUUGUACAAAUGCAGAAUCAUUACUAUCCCUAACAAUGUAAAACUCUGACAAAUUAGAUAUCACUAUUUCUUAAGGAAAAUUGAUCAUAAGAUAAUUUUUGGACCUAAAAAUCUGCAUUUGUCUCAAGCACAUUUAACAUGCAUUCAUGGGAGAAGGAUCAUCUUUUUUCUGUUUCAUAUACAACUCUGUUAAGUGGAUAUCUUAUGUUUUCUUACAUUUCCUGCAUAUAAUUUAAAGGAAAAAAAAGCCACCCAAAAAGAGAAUAGAGGGAAUGAAUGUCUCAAUCCUUUUUUAAUUGUAUCACUGAUUCUUGGGGGGGUAUAGUGUGAUAGCUUCUGUAUUUUCUUUACUCCCUCCCUCCCCAAUUUUACUGAGUUGUGGUUGACUAUAACAUUGUAUAAGUUUAAAGAGUACAACAUAAUGAUUUGAUACAUGCAUAUAAUGUGAAAUGAUUACCACAAUAAAUUUAGUUAACAUCUGUCACCUCA